This 301-nucleotide long non-coding RNA is filed under the name Pan troglodytes (chimpanzee). RNAcentral describes it as "long non-coding RNA NONPTRT012125". Lineage: Eukaryota; Metazoa; Chordata; Mammalia; Primates; Hominidae. The record is from RNAcentral.
ACUCAGCCUGGGUGACAGAGUGAGACUGUCUCAAAAGAAAGAAAGAAAAAGCUAUGAAUUGCCCCCGAUUGCUGAUUUAAUUGAAUUGUAAAAAUUCUGCCAUUUAUUGUUUUUUUCCCAGAGGUCAUGAGAUGGAGACCAUCCUGGCUAACAUGGUGAAACCCCGUCUCUACUAAAAAUACAAUAAAUUAGCUGGGUGUGGUGGGGCGGUGCCUGUAAUCCCAGCUACUUGGGAGGCUGACGAAGGAGAAUGGUGUGAACCCAGGAGGCAGAGGUUGCUUUGAGCCGAGAUUGCGCCACU